AAAAUGUUGGGAAAUGUGAAGAGAGAUGUUUCAGCAAGUAGAUCUCUUUUGGGCAAAUUGAAAGCAGUGGCAUCACCCUGAGGCAAUCAGCAUCCCAAUUCAUCAGGAUGCUGGGAUGAAAGCUCUGUAGAUCCUGAAUUUGCCCAACAACCUGCUGAAUGCUUUUCCGAAUUGUCCCUAUCAAUCGGGCACAGAUCAUCUAUUUAAACAUACGAAAUGGCUUGACACUAAUAGCAUUUCUUCCAUUUUGGAAAAAAAAAAUAAGGACUGAUAUCCACAGAAGUAAAAAAACAAAAACUUCAGGAAAACAUCAUUAUAUAAGGGGGUGGUAUGUACCUUGAUAACAUAAAACGAUUUUACGUAAGAGAAUCUACCAACUGAACUCAUUUGUUUGGGUAUAAUAAAGAUAUAUAUCCUUAUAAUUG
RNAcentral lists this long non-coding RNA (425 nucleotides) under Pan troglodytes (chimpanzee). RNAcentral's name for it is "lncRNA (ENSPTRG00000054049.1)". The record is from RNAcentral. Lineage: Eukaryota; Metazoa; Chordata; Mammalia; Primates; Hominidae.